ACACUUUAUUGGGGCAGUGUGUUUGACGUAUCACUUGACUGUGUUCCCUUUAAAAUUUAAUUAUAAUGCUGUAGCAUGGCGGGGCAGGAAAAAACAUGGAUGAGUUACCUUGUUAUCAAAAGUAAUUAAGUAUACACUACAGUUUAUUGCAUUUUUAUAAAUAGAAAUAGUGUCCCUUUAAUGGUGAUGCAGAACACCUUAAGCAGGAUCCUGAUACAUAAUGUCACAUAUCUACUGUUGCCAAGAGUAUUAGGGUUCCUGCAAGGAUUAGCUUUUUCAUGUAAUAUCAGUGUAUUUCUGGAAGCCUUGACAUCAGCCGAAAAUAAAAUAAUAUCCUUUGAGACAAAUUUUUAUUUUUAAAAUGUGCAGCAUUUUCGCUUGCCAGUAUGUUUGUGUUCCUUCCUAACUGCAAACAAAUAUAAUCGAUUUGUUAAAAAAAAAAUACAGAUAAAUAAUAAACCGUAUAAAGCAUUUUCAUAGUCACAUUACACAGGUGUGAAUAUUUUACCUCUUACUCCUUGAACCAAGUUCCCAUUUAUUUCCUGGUUUGGCAUCACUUGAAAUGAUAUGUAUUACAAGUUAUUUAUGGGCUCUGGAGAAUUAUAAGGUUAUACAGAACAGAAGACUUGAAUGACCUUAUAAACAGACUAGGACAUUUGUAACCUAUUGAAAAACUGUUUUGGUAGUAUGUUAUUGCUCCUAAUAUUAUGUUCAAACUACAGAAUACAUUAAUGAUUAAUCUACCUUUUGAUACUAAUUGUUUUCAGGCAAGUCACAAUUUUUAGCAGAAUAAAUGAAGAAAACUAACAAUGUUUUUAUACAGUAAGGGUUAUUGUCAUUCAUUUCUGUUGUUAUUAUUAUACCUAUAAAUAGUAGGCAUUCAUUUAAUAUGAAGUAGUAAAGGUCAUACUGUAGCUAAUUGGUUCCCAGUUGAAUUAUUCUUUUGCAUCGUAUUUUGUAUGAUUUCCGUCAUACACCAAGUCUUAUAAUCUAAAAUGGUCUAAAGUUUCAUCCAUAACACAGAUAGCAAGUGUGAACCUUCUGUUGAAAAUGGAAGUGUAUGGACUUUAGAGCAAAGUAAUGGUGAGAAAAAAUGUUGAGCUGCAGCAAUAGGAUGCAAAAGCUAGCUGAAUCUAUAUAGAAGUCACCAACAAUUAUGGGGGUCAUGUGAGUACAGUCAAUCACAAAUCUAGACAGAAAAAAUAAAAUUACAAAAAAAAUUGUUAUGUUUGCACACAGCACUGGACAUAGAUCAGUUCUAAAAUUCUAUAAUGCUAUAACUGUUCUUCAGUCUGAUAUCAUAGGUGGCCAGUAUGAGUAUGUUUCUUUUUUAUAUUUCCUGCAAUAACUGUAAUAUUUACAGUUUCAUUAACUGUGUGGGUUUAUAGAAUAUUAAAGUACUUUAGCAAAGCCAGAGUAUAAAAGUUGGAAAGGAGGGAGAAGCUAGGGUUAGGGGAGGAAUAGGGAAACUCAGUUAUACUGCCUUUAGAUAAAAAUCUCCUACCAAAUCCAAACCAAAUUUAGAUAAUGGAGUAUUAUAAUAGAGAUCAGCUUCAGGGUGGAGCCCUAGAAUUACAGGUUACCUACAUGCGCCCCCUUGCCUUGGUUGAAUUUCAGCAAAAUGAGAUUCAUGAUGCCUUGGCCUCAAGUGCAUCAUCAUAAAUGCAACAUAUAAUACAUUGAAGAUACCUUGAGUGGUAGCUCAAUAAGGAUAAAAAUGCAUAAGUACAGAUUAAGAUAUUCACUGAAAAGCAGAUCAGCUGUAAAAUGAAUUAAGUGCUUGUUUAAUAAUGUACAUUUUUGUCUAGUAAGCAAAGAAGCCCUAGUUCACCUGCUGUGCGUGACAUUAGUAGAUAUCCUUCAUCUAGUCAUAAGCUACGGAGGAGGCAGAAACAACUUGUUCACAUCUCAACACAUCAAAGGGAUUCAGAAUCAGUAGUACAGAGUCCAUGUUUCAAGCAACAACCAUCUUUGCACUUGAAAGCAGUCAUAAAGAACAUCAGUUAAAGGAAUCACUUAAUGCAUAUGCUUUCUGAAACCAUUUAUCCCUCUCAUGCAUUGGGACCAAUUCCACUUUGCAGAGUCUCUUUGUACUGGAGGCUGAAGAGAUUCGGCAUGAGCCCCUGCAUGAUUCCCUGCAUGGAGAAAGUGGAGAGGAUCAUCAAAGACUCCAGUCACCCUAGCCACAGACUGUUCAAACUACUUCUGUCAGGCAGGAGAUAUAGCAGCAGGCUGAGUAACAGCUUUUUCCAUCAGGCCAUCAGACUGCUGAACACUGACCACUAACACUUCAUAGACACUUCAGCAACACUACCACACUAUUCAAUGUGUACUCAUUCUUAUAUUUUGUACAUACAUUAUACAUGCCUACUCAUGUGCAUAUGUAUUCUAUAUUUUGUACU
Molecule: long non-coding RNA, 2402 nt
Organism: Xenopus tropicalis (tropical clawed frog)
Lineage: Eukaryota; Metazoa; Chordata; Amphibia; Anura; Pipidae
Exons: 3
Source: RefSeq, a predicted model, not a curated record